CCAAACCCCCUCAUCUCUCCAUCGUCUCUCUCAUAGAUGACCCCUUCCAAACCCUAGACACCACCCCUCCCCUUCGCCUGAAACCCGGCAGCAAUAAUGCGCCAGUCACCAAAGUAACCCCAUUAAGCUAUCUAACCACCAUCAUUAUGAAUCCAUGCUCCUUUUACUUCGAAUAAACCACUAGCUUCUCGAACCUUCAAUUGAGAUUCGAGCAUAACUGGAACCUACCCCAACCAAGCCCAAACUCACACCAUGAUAAUAGUGGACCUCCCUCGUUCCUAAACCAUUAUUGGUUUCCCUCGAAUCAUGCUAGAAUAGUUCGAAUCCCAAAUCGAACCAGAAACCCUAGACGAAACCAAAUUGGGUUGUGUCCAAACAUAGGGGAGGAUUUGGGUGGCUAAUCAACCUUAUUCGAAGUGUUCUCAGUUGAGAACACUCAAUUAAGGUCCGUUCCACCCCAAAAAAGUUUGGGUCUGAGUUCGAGCUUGAGAUUAUUUGGAUUCUAAUUUCUUGAGGUAUUUUGCAUUUCCUGUCUGUUCUCUCUUUGGUUAUUUGUUUAUGUUGUUGUAUUGAUUUUGUUGUAAACUUCUGUUCAUUGUUCUUCUUCUUCUCCAAUCAGACUUUUUAUUUGGUCGAGUUUUUCUGUUCAUGGUAAAGUAUAUUUUAUAAGCUAUGCAAUCGAUUUGGCUAGUUUGUCGAUUACUUAGUUUUCUAAUAGCUCUUUGUUUUUGUUAAGGGCUACUCGAAUCCCAUGUACCCCAUCUUGGUUGUGUCAAACUGUAUGGUCUAUUUAUUUGUUUGUUUGCUUUAUUCUGGAUAAUUGCUUCUUCUUUGUAUUUCUAGAAAUCCGAGUUAGGCAAGUAUCAGUAAGUCUCUUGUGCAAACAAUAUUUCUUCCAAGCUGUUUUGGGCAGUGUUAUUUCAAUAUGUGUAUUGUUUUAUCCCCUGAUCUUUGUCGAUUCAUCACACUAUUAGUUCCUUGCUUGUUCAUUUUUGUCUGAGUUGAUCAUGAUUGGUUCCCAAUAUGAUUAGCCCAUUCCCUUUGUUUUGAUACCAUGUAUUUCAUCUAAGUUACUAUCCUAAAUUACUGGCUGAUUUGGUAAGUUGAAUUUGUUAUAGUUGUGGGGGGGUCUGGAACAAAUUGAAGGGGAAUUAGUUCAGGGUUGUAUUUUGAGGGACUUCAUAAGGGUAAUUUGGAGUUUAAAACUUGAAUAAAUUUGUUUAAGUUGAAUGGUCUGACAGCAAGGUACUAAGGUACCAUUUAAUUUAUACAUUUGUUUAAUACUAGUGGGGAGCAAAACACAAUAGUGUUGGGAGAGGUCUAAUAGGAAAUGAUUAAACAAGUAUGUAUCCAUAACAAAUAAAUUAAGAAUAGAAUGGGACAAUAGUAGUGGGGGACAAGAUAAUUAAAAGGAGAACAAAACAUAUAGUAAUGUGGUUCCGGGAGUAUGCGCAGUAGAUUUUUUCUAUAUGUUUAUGUGUCCCAAGAGGUUGGAGGAGGUUAAGUCUCAAGAGGCUAGACAAGGUUAAGUUUCUAGUAUAAAUAGAAGGUGUUGGGACAGAAUAAGGGGGGAUUUUUAGAGAAUAGAGAUCAGUCUUUGAUCAGUUUUUUUCAAAGUUAUAAGAGUUCAGAGUUAAGUGGGAAAAGCUGGAUUGUUUGGUUUUUCUUUUACUCCUGGAAAUCAGAAAAGAGUGGAGUUCCUAAGAGUUUUUCUUCUUUGAUAGUUUAAAGAACAGAAAAUCAGAAAACACGUUGUUUCAUUGCAUCUCUUGGUCGAAUCUGUUAGUGUGGUGUUGCUAUUGGGUUUCAUUGGUUUCAUAUUGCUCCUGGGACCUAUUUCUAUUGCUGGUUUUGCUGUGUUGGAGUUGGUAUCAGUCUUGUUUGGUUAAAUAAUUUCUGGAAUUACUGGAUUAUGUCUUGUUGGUAUUGGUAUCUGCUGUUGGUAUCUGCUGUGACUGUUUUCUGUUGUUGUAUUGUUACUUCUGCUGCUGACUUACUUUUCAACCUUUUGUAACUCACUCUCAAGGUACACAUUCUCUGUUAUGGUUCUAUGUCUAAAAAUGGAAUAGAACUGCCUAUUUUUUGGACCCUGAAACAUGCAUGUUGUAUCGUUACAUAUGUGCAGUUGAAUAGAUAUCAAAAUGUAGUUGAUUAAAUUAUUCAAGUGUUGAUUUGUAUGAUUAAUAACCAUGGACUGCUUUCUUUAUGGACUAUGGAAUGUGUUGGGUCAUUAUGUUUACUAGUAGAUUGUUGUGGUUUGUUUCGAACCACUUCAAAUUUGUAAGAAUUUUGUAUUCCGAAGAAGUAACUCAGCUCGUAACUAUUAAAUAGAGCGAUAUGAGGAUUUGAGUUGAUUAGUUACCAGUUUAUCAGUUCCUUCUUACGUUUCACCAGUAGGCAUCACUUGAGGUCGAACAAGACGUGGUAAUGUUCCUUUAAAUAUUGAUAAUAAUAGAUUUUUCAAGUGUCGAUUAAGUUUAACAAACUUUCAAGUAAGUACUAGUGAUUAAGGUUAGUUUUUAGUUUCAAAUAAUUGCAAACAAUGAAUCCCAAAUGGUUAUGAUUUUUUACGCGG
RNAcentral lists this long non-coding RNA (2575 nucleotides) under Nicotiana benthamiana. RNAcentral describes it as "long non-coding RNA (NBEN_LNC027382)". Lineage: Eukaryota; Viridiplantae; Streptophyta; Magnoliopsida; Solanales; Solanaceae. The record is from RNAcentral.